Molecule: non-coding RNA, 2297 nt
Organism: Cajanus cajan (pigeon pea)
Lineage: Eukaryota; Viridiplantae; Streptophyta; Magnoliopsida; Fabales; Fabaceae
Source: RefSeq, a predicted model, not a curated record
CCUGACUGGAUGCUAACAACUUUGUUAAUAGUAGUUUUCAUAGGCCUUUCAGUCAAUGCAUUCUUAAAGGGUGUCCAAACAUGGAAAAAAGAAACCAUUAUUAUGAAGGAAGCUAGGCAGAAUUCACGGCUAAAUGAUAAUGGAAGAACCGAUAAAAUGCUGCACAACUUCAAACAGAAGACACGGUCAAUGGAAGUCAAACAAAUACCAACCAACCAAGGAAAAAAGUUUCUGUUAUUGACAAUAUUUAUUGGAAGGAACUUGGACUUCUUGUAACUGUGUGGAUCUUGAUACUUGCACUACAGAUAGGAAAAAAUUACAUUACAAAUUGCUCAGCUAUGUAUUGGGUAUUGAAUCUAAUUGCAGGUCCCUGUCACUGUUGGAACAACUUUAUAUGAAGCCGUGCUUCUAUAUACAAAGGGCAGAGAGUGAUAUCCUCAAAGGGUGAUCAACAAACACGUUUGAGUGAACGGCAAAUAAUUCUAUAUUGCACUUGUGGCAUACUUGCUGGCAUAAUUUGUGGUUUGCUUGGCCUUGGUGGAGGAUUCAUCUUGGGACCCCUUUUCAUUGGAUUAGGAAUUCCUCCUCAGGUACGUACGUUUUAUCCUUGUAUGACUAUUUUAAUGUUGGUCCACCUGGAACUCACUCAUUGGGAUUUUUUUCUACCAAAGUUUCAAGUGCUACAUCCACUUUUGCAAUGACAUUUUCUGCAUCUAUGUCAGUGGUGGAAUAUUACCUUCUCAAACGUUUCCCGAUUCCUUACGGUAAGUACGGAUCAAUGGACAUAAAUUAAAGGAAUUAGAGGAGUAAUUCUAUCAUUUCCACGUGCAGACACAUAGUUAGGCCCAAGUGAUUAAUUACUUGGUUAAAAGAAAGAAUAAAUAAUAUAUGUAGUGACAGAAUAAAUAGUGUAAUAUUAUCAUAAGCUGUCAUGUCAUGCAAAAUUACUUGACUUUUAUACCAGACUGUUGUGAAAUAUAGUGGAGGAUUAUGUUUCCGAUGGUGGGGUGGCAGUUCCGGUGAUGGCGAUACCAAGUUCUUGUGGUGAUACUACAAGGUCUUCAGUAUAUAGAUCAAGUAUAUUCAAAAGAGAGUGAAUACAUAGUGUAGGAGUCUCUUUAUAUAAGGUGAUUUAUGCGAAAAAGUUUUGUUACGUAGUUAUGUUAUAUGGCUAUUGUCAUUGUUAAUUCAUGUGUCAUGUGUUAAGUCUAUUUUUUUAACGUAAAACCUUAAUUCGGUUUUAUCUAAGACUCAUAUUAGAUAAAUCCUGACUAGUUAUAUCUUUUAAAGGGGUAGAUCGAACAUAAGUUGGACCGACCUCCACAACAAAGAUGAUAUCUUUUAUUUAGAUAACUAUUAAACUAAAAUCUAAAAGAAGGAGGUUGUUACACUAAAAGUACAAAUUAAAUUACUUGCUAAUAUGUUUUGAUUAUCAUGCAGCACUUUACUUUGUAGCUGUAGCCACUGCUGCUGCACUUUCUGGGCAGCAUUUGGUGAGAAAGCUUAUUGCUAUACUGGGGAGAACCUCUUUGAUCAUUUUCAUCCUUGCGCUCACAGUUUUUGUGAGUGGCAAGUGCAAUUUUCGGAGAUUCUUUUGGAUUCUUCCUUUUAGUGAUCAGGGGUACUACUGUAUCAGUACUAUAUUACUAACUUGUGGCUGCUGUUUACUCAUUAUUUUAUUAAAAUACAAAAGACAACUUGUCUUGCUUUUGGUUAUAGUGAGUAAAAAAUAUGAAUAAAAUAUCAAUGAAUUUAGGCUGAAUCAGUUGGAAUAUACUCAUAUGAUAAAAGUUUUCAAAGUAGUUUUUUUUAUACAAAAAUUUAAUAAUAAUUUAUUCUUUUGCCACACCAUCUCAUUCAUCAACAUGAUUUGGUAAUAAGAUGAUGAGUUAAUAACACAAUGCAUUUCAAAUUACACAAAUAGUGAGCAUACAUUUUUACUUGCUUACUUCAAAAAGAAAAUUACUUUAGAGAAAACACAUGCUUUCACAUUCCAAGUAGUAUAUUACAAAUUUACAAUGACUUAACUUUUUUUUUCUUUUUUUCUUUUCCAAAUUACAGGUGGAGUAGGCAUAGCAAACUUCAAUAUUAAAAGGGUUGAAAAGAAGGAGUACAUGGGGUUUGAAGACCUUUGCUCGUACAGGGUUAGAAAUUAAAGAUGGAGAUGUGUAGUUUCUAAGCUAAACCCUUCACAACAGUUUUGUGUUUUCCAGAAUUGUAUUAAGAAAUUUAUCUUUGUUUCUUAACUAAACUAAUUGAUUAUUCAGUAGAAAUCUAUGACUAUUUUAAAGCCGCAC